CCUACGGGUGGCUGCAGUGAGGAAUAUUGGUCAAUGGGCGCGAGCCUGAACCAGCCAAGUAGCGUGAAGGAUGACUGCCCUACGGGUUGUAAACUUCUUUUAUAAAGGAAUAAAGUGAGGCACGUGUGCCUUUUUGUAUGUACUUUAUGAAUAAGGAUCGGCUAACUCCGUGCCAGCAGCCGCGGUAAUACGGAGGAUCCGAGCGUUAUCCGGAUUUAUUGGGUUUAAAGGGAGCGUAGAUGGGUUGUUAAGUCAGUUGUGAAAGUUUGCGGCUCAACCGUUAAAUUGCAAUUGAUACUGGGAAGUCUUGGGUAAGGUGAGGGUGGGCGAAAUCCUGGUGGAGGCGUGAAA
This 351-nucleotide ribosomal RNA is filed under the name uncultured bacterium. Its description in RNAcentral is "partial 16S ribosomal RNA". It matches the Rfam family "Bacterial small subunit ribosomal RNA", at positions 338 to 686 of the family's 1533-position model. The record is from RNAcentral.